Molecule: ribosomal RNA, 497 nt
Filed under: uncultured bacterium
Lineage: Bacteria
Description: partial 16S ribosomal RNA
Rfam family: Bacterial small subunit ribosomal RNA
Source: RNAcentral
GAUGAACGCUGGCGGCGUGCCUAAUACAUGCAAGUCGAGCGAACGGACGAGAAGCUUGCUUCUCUGAUGUUAGCGGCGGACGGGUGAGUAACACGUGGAUAACCUACCUAUAAGACUGGGAUAACUUCGGGAAACCGGAGCUAAUACCGGAUGAUAUUUUGAACCGCAUGGUUCAAAAGUGAAAGACGGUCUUGCUGUCACUUAUAGAUGGAUCCGCGCUGCAUUAGCUAGUUGGUAAGGUAACGGCUUACCAAGGCAACGAUGCAUAGCCGACCUGAGAGGGUGAUCAGUCACACUGGAACUGAGACACGGUCCAGACUCCUACGGGAGGCAGCAGUAGGGAAUCUUGCGCAAUGGGCGAAAGCCUGACGGAGCAACGCCGCGUGAGUGAUGAAGGUCUUCGGAUCGUAAAACUCUGUUAGUAGGGAAGAACAUAUGUGUAAGUAACUGUGCACAUCUUGACGGUACCUAAUCAGAAAGCCACGGCUAACUACGUG